UUUAUAUUCUCCGCCUCCCCAUUUUUUCAUUAAAAUCUCUCCCACGUCUCUCCUCAUUGGAACCAAACAAACCCUGAAGGAAGUUUAUCAGAGAGAAUCCUGUUGUCUUCUUUUGCGCUAAACCUGUCUCGCUUAAUCCAUUUCUUCCUCGGUCAUCGGGGAACGGCCGCUCGCCAAAAUCGGUUGUGUUCGCUGCUUUGGCGGAGGUCGUAGAAGGGGAUGCUGAGCAGGAGGAAGGCAGCGGCGUCGCGGUUGCGGUUCCUCCGAAGCAUAAGAAAGGGAAGGCAGCGUUGCGCUGCGUUGCCUUUGAAGAGAGAGAGAGCCAUUUCGGAAGAAUUUAAUCGAUCGAGUCUUACCUGAAGAACGCUUGCAAAAGGUUUGUGGUGGAGUUCAAGCUUGCUUUCAUCACUGAUAACAGUCCGAACAAAGAUAUCAAUAUCUCGUUCUACAACUUCCCCUUGAUUAAGAGGACGGAGAUCGGAAAGUUAGUGUGGGUUAGCGGUGUGGAUGGGCACACGCACCAGUGAGGUUCGCCCGGAGCUUCUUCUCGGCACAUUCAAGUGAUUAGAAUGUGGAAACUUCAUAAAAGACGUUGAACAGCCGUUCAAAUACACUGAGAACAAAGUGGGCUUUGCUGAGACAAGAUAGCAAAUUAACAGAUUGGCAGAGGGUCCAUAUGCAAGAGACAUCAAAGGAAAUACCUCCACGUUCGCUACCGAGAUCGCUUGAUGUCAUCCUUCUCCGUGAUAUUGUUGAGCAAGCCAAGGCAGGCGACCGUGACUUUUUCUGUGCAAAUCUAAUUAAGAAUCUUAGACAUUUCCAGCUUUAUUGCAGCAAUUGUUCACAAUUUUGUAAAUUCACAUGUUGCAGGGUUGUGUUUAUUGACACUCUUGUUUCUUUGCCUGAUAUUCUAGCAUUGGUCUCUCCUGAGGAAAGAGGCAAAUGUCGCCGGGAAUCCUCUAGUAAUAUGGUGUUUUCUUGUCUCUUCAAAUAUUUGUGAUGGGAGAAGGGUUGCUGAUAUUUGUAACAGGGGAGAUGAUGAACAUGAUAGUUGUUCUGAUCUUAGCUAUUUCUCCAUCUUUUUAAUUCACUUUCCAAACAAUUCCAUUAAAAUAUAGUUCAUUAUAAAAUCUUUUGAAUUCCCCCUGUUCUAUAUUUUUGAGACGGAUAUGGUAUUGUAACACAAUAGAACUUUAAAGAUGGAGAAUUUUGUUAUGCUGAGCACACUAUGCUUUUCAUAUAAAGUCAUGUUGAUCAAUAGUAUAUAUUGAAAAUUCAUACUUCUUCCAUGUUGCCUGCAGCCACAAGAUUCGGAUGAAAGCCAUCAGAUGAAGUACACACCUGACUUCUUCAAUAAGCUUGUUGAUAGCAUUGCACCUCAUGCUUAUGGGAGGCAUCCAUAAAAUUGCACAUGAAGGCAUCAACUUAAGGGGUGAUAUAAAUGUUUGCAUUGAUCUCUUGAACAUAUAUUUUUAUAUAUUCAUAUUGUCUGAUUCCUUGUUAGGGCCGACUGGGUAAUCUCACGGUCGAGCCUAAUACCCUGCAAAUUAAGGCCGACAAGGCAAGUCAGAUGAACCAUGUGUGAUAGUUGGACCUGGAGACGUCGGGUUUGAAUACAUGACCUCACGGCCACAAGUUCACUCCCUACGCCACCAGGUAACUUGUUGAUAGAAAUGGAAACAUUUUGCCUGGUAUGUAAUCCAAUAUUAGGCAAUGAUGACCCCUGUCUCCCAUAACCAAAAUUAGGUGGAGGAUUGUUAUGAAAUUUUGGUCAAUGAGAUUUGUAUUGAGACCAAUAUUGUAUCCAUACGCCAAGACACAUACAUGAUUUAAUUUGUGGCCCAAUUGGAACCCGGCCCUAACCCGUGACCCGUCACCUGCGACCCGGCACUCGGGACCUGUGUGUUUAUUAGACCCACAUCGUAUGCCGUUCGAUCAAAGGAUUUCUUACUGGCCAUUGAUUUGAUUUGAUCCAUUAUAUAUCUAUAUGGAUUGGGAGGGAGCCGUAGGGAUUAAUACACCCACUCAUUCAUAUCAUUCAACUCUCUCUACCUUCUUCUCUCUCACUUCACUCUACACCGCGAUACUGUUCUUGGCCGCGGAACUCUUCUGGAAAGUCUCUGCUCUUGAGCUUGUUUCUCCCCCGGUUUGCACGUCUACGAACUACAAGGGGUUCAAUUUGUCGGUUGUGGUUUCGUCUGUACCUGUGAUAUUAUUUUGUCCACUGUUUUGUGCCGUAAGUCUUCUUCUUCGUAUGUGGGGGUUGUUUUUUUGUGUAGGUUAAAGGUCUCGGGCCGGUUUCGAUGUGUUUGUCGCGAUUUACAUGUGUUUGUGUCGAUAUUGUGUACUUUGGGAGUUUUUGGGGGUUGAGCCUAAAAACCAAGCCCUAGUUCAAACUUUUCUUUAUUUACGU
Long non-coding RNA from Andrographis paniculata, 2413 nucleotides. RefSeq lists it as uncharacterized. The transcript has 5 exons. The record is from RefSeq and is a predicted model, not a curated record. Lineage: Eukaryota; Viridiplantae; Streptophyta; Magnoliopsida; Lamiales; Acanthaceae.